GUUGUAACGGACGAGGACGACGCUGAGAACGAGCUGAAGUUUUGGAUUUUGCCCUGACCUGCCCUGAGAUUGAUAUGCAAUGCAAUCCCAGUCCAGAAGUACUACUGAAACAUUACAGAUUGUGUCAUUACCAAGGGCGCUCCUGGCCAUUGCCAUGUUUGUAUCCUGACUCUGUUUACCUUGUUUACCCUGUUUGUUUAUUGAUGCUAAUUAUACUUUUGCUGGAGUGGCACAGGUUUAUGGCUUAAAAUAAAUGUCUGUUGUGAAAGUGAAAUAAACAUUGAAAUAAUUUGAAA
Molecule: long non-coding RNA, 296 nt
Organism: Trichomycterus rosablanca
Lineage: Eukaryota; Metazoa; Chordata; Actinopteri; Siluriformes; Trichomycteridae
Exons: 2
Source: RefSeq, a predicted model, not a curated record